This 1343-nucleotide ribosomal RNA is filed under the name uncultured bacterium. RNAcentral describes it as "16S ribosomal RNA". It matches the Rfam family "Bacterial small subunit ribosomal RNA", at positions 28 to 1378 of the family's 1533-position model. The record is from RNAcentral.
GACGAACGCUGGUGGCGUGCUUAACACAUGCAAGUCGAACGGAAAGGCCCUGCUUUUGUGGGGUGCUCGAGUGGCGAACGGGUGAGUAACACGUGAGUAACCUGCCCUUGACUUUGGGAUAACUUCAGGAAACUGGGGCUAAUACCGGAUAGGAGCUCCUGCUGCAUGGUGGGGGUUGGAAAGUUUCGGCGGUUGGGGAUGGACUCGCGGCUUAUCAGCUUGUUGGUGGGGUAGUGGCUUACCAAGGCUUUGACGGGUAGCCGGCCUGAGAGGGUGACCGGCCACAUUGGGACUGAGAUACGGCCCAGACUCCUACGGGAGGCAGCAGUGGGGAAUAUUGCACAAUGGGCGGAAGCCUGAUGCAGCAACGCCGCGUGCGGGAUGACGGCCUUCGGGUUGUAAACCGCUUUCGCCUGUGACGAAGCGUGAGUGACGGUAAUGGGUAAAGAAGCACCGGCUAACUACGUGCCAGCAGCCGCGGUGAUACGUAGGGUGCGAGCGUUGUCCGGAUUUAUUGGGCGUAAAGGGCUCGUAGGUGGUUGAUCGCGUCGGAAGUGUAAUCUUGGGGCUUAACCCUGAGCGUGCUUUCGAUACGGGUUGACUUGAGGAAGGUAGGGGAGAAUGGAAUUCCUGGUGGAGCGGUGGAAUGCGCAGAUAUCAGGAGGAACACCAGUGGCGAAGGCGGUUCUCUGGGCCUUUCCUGACGCUGAGGAGCGAAAGCGUGGGGAGCGAACAGGCUUAGAUACCCUGGUAGUCCACGCUGUAAACGGUGGGUACUAGGUGUGGGGUCCAUUCCACGGGUUCCGUGCCGUAGCUAACGCUUUAAGUACCCCGCCUGGGGAGUACGGCCGCAAGGCUAAAACUCAAAGGAAUUGACGGGGCCCCGCACAAGCGGCGGAGCAUGCGGAUUAAUUCGAUGCAACGCGUAGAACCUUACCCGGGUUUGACAUGGAUCGGGAGUGCUCAGAGAUGGGUGUGCCUCUUUUGGGGUCGGUUCACAGGUGGUGCAUGGCUGUCGUCAGCUCGUGUCGUGAGAUGUUGGGUUAAGUCCCGCAACGAGCGCAACCCUUGUUCACUGUUGCCAGCACGUUAUGGUGGGGACUCAGUGGAGACCGCCGGGGUCAACUCGGAGGAAGGUGGGGAUGACGUCAAGUCAUCAUGCCCCUUAUGUCCAGGGCUUCACGCAUGCUACAAUGGCUGGUACAGAGAGUGGCGAGCCUGUGAGGGUGAGCGAAUCUCGGAAAGCCGGUCUCAGUUCGGAUUGGGGUCUGCAACUCGACCUCAUGAAGUCGGAGUCGCUAGUAAUCGCAGAUCAGCAACGCUGCGGUGAAUACGUUCCCGGG